GAUGAACGCUGGCGGCAUGCCUAACACAUGCAAGUCGGACGGGAAGUGGUGUUUCCCGUGGCGGUCGGGCGAGUAACGCGUAAGAACCUGCCCUUGGGAGGGGAACAACAGCUGGAAACGGCUGCUAAUACCCCGUAGGUUGAGGAGCAAACGGAGGAAUCCGCCCGAGGGGGGGCGUGCGCCUGAUUAACUAGUUGGUGAGGCAAUAGCUUACCAAGGCGGUGAUCAGUAGCUGGUCCGAGAGGAGGAUCAGCCACACUGGGACUGGGAUACGGAGCGGGCAACUUCGGGAGGCGGGAGUGGGGAUGAUCCAGCAAUGCGCGGUGGCCUAAGAGGGCCAUGCGGCGGGGAAGUAGAAUGCGCAGGGGUCAAGAGCUGCAUUUUAAGGAGAAGAUGCUAUGACGGUACCUGGAGAAUAAGCACCGGCUAACUCCGUG
This 437-nucleotide ribosomal RNA is filed under the name uncultured bacterium. Its description in RNAcentral is "partial 16S ribosomal RNA". It matches the Rfam family "Bacterial small subunit ribosomal RNA", at positions 28 to 507 of the family's 1533-position model. The record is from RNAcentral.